GAUGAACGCUAGCGGGAGGCCUAAUACAUGCAAGUCGAGCGGUAGAGUGACUUCGGUUGCUUGAGAGCGGCGCACGGGUGAGUAACGCGUACAUGACCUACCUUUAAGACUGGGAUAGCCCUGGGAAACUGGGAUUAAUACCGGAUGUGAUAAUACGUAUAGAGAUGUAUUAUUAAAGUUGAGGCGCUUAGAGAUGGAUGUGCGUCUGAUUAGCUAGUUGGUAGGUAACGGCCUACCAAGGCUACGAUCAGUAGGGGGCUGAGAGCGUGGCCCCCCANACGGGUACUGAGACACGGACCCGACUCCUACGGGAGGCAGCAGUAAGGAAUAUUGGUCAAUGGACGAAGUCUGAACCAGCCAUCCCGCGUGCAGGAUGACUGCCCUAUGGUUGUAAACUGCUUUUAGCAGAGACGAAACGCCUUCAUUUAUGAGGGUCUGACGGCAUCUGCAGAAUAAGCACCGGCUAACUCCGUGCCAGCAGCCG
This 484-nucleotide ribosomal RNA is filed under the name uncultured bacterium. RNAcentral's name for it is "bacterial SSU rRNA". It matches the Rfam family "Bacterial small subunit ribosomal RNA", at positions 28 to 517 of the family's 1533-position model. The record is from RNAcentral.